This is a non-coding RNA of Schistosoma mattheei, 45 nucleotides long. Lineage: Eukaryota; Metazoa; Platyhelminthes; Trematoda; Strigeidida; Schistosomatidae. The record is from Rfam.
AUCCAACUGACGAGUCCCAAACACAAUGAAACGCGCGCCCUGGAU